UACGGGGGGGGCAAGCGUUGUUCGGAAUUACUGGGCGUAAAGGGCUCGUAGGUGGCCAACUAAGUCAGACGUGAAAUCCCUCGGCUUAACCGGGGAACUGCGUCUGAUACUGGAUGGCUUGAGUUCGGGAGAGGGAUGCGGAAUUCCAGGUGUAGCGGUGAAAUGCGUAGAUAUCUGGAGGAAUACCGGUGGCGAAGGCGGCAUCCUGGACCGACAUUGACGCUGAUGAGCGAAAGCUAGGGGAGCAAACGGG
RNAcentral lists this ribosomal RNA (253 nucleotides) under uncultured bacterium. RNAcentral describes it as "partial 16S ribosomal RNA". It matches the Rfam family "Bacterial small subunit ribosomal RNA", at positions 524 to 776 of the family's 1533-position model. The record is from RNAcentral.